RNAcentral lists this ribosomal RNA (496 nucleotides) under uncultured bacterium. Its description in RNAcentral is "partial 16S ribosomal RNA". It matches the Rfam family "Bacterial small subunit ribosomal RNA", at positions 29 to 507 of the family's 1533-position model. The record is from RNAcentral.
AUGAACGCUGGCGGCGUGCCUAAUACAUGCAAGUCGAGCGAACGGACGAGAAGCUUGCUUCUCUGAUGUUAGCGGCGGACGGGUGAGUAACACGUGGAUAACCUACCUAUAAGACUGGGAUAACUUCGGGAAACCGGAGCUAAUACCGGAUAAUAUUUUGAACCGCAUGGUUCAAAAGUGAAAGACGGUCUUGCUGUCACUUAUAGAUGGAUCCGCGCUGCAUUAGCUAGUUGGUAAGGUAACGGCUUACCAAGGCAACGAUGCAUAACCGACCUGAGAGGGUGAUCGGCCACACUGGAACUGAGACACGGUCCAGACUCCUACGGGAGGCAGCAGUAGGGAAUCUUCCGCAAUGGGCGAAAGCCUGACGGAGCAACGCCGCGUGAGUGAUGAAGGUCUUCGGAUCGUAAAACUCUGUUAUUAGGGAAGAACAUAUGUGUAAGUAACUGUGCACAUCUUGACGGUACCUAAUCAGAAAGCCACGGCUAACUACGUG